CCCUUAGAUGUCCUGGGCCGCACGCGUGCUACACUGACGCCUACAGCGAGUACUUCCCAGCCCCGAGAGGUGGCUGGUAAUCAGCAAUAGGCGUUGUGAUGGGGAUAGAUCUUUGGAAUUAUGGAUCUUGAACGAGGAAUGCCUAGUAAGCGCAGGUCAUUAGCCUGCGCUGAUUAAGUCCCUGCCCUUUGUACACACCGCCCGUCGCUCCUACCGAUUGAAUGGUCCGGUGAAGCGUUCGGACCGUGGCCUUUGGACGGUUCGCCGUCUGUUGGCUGCGGGAAGUUCGUUAAACCUUAUCAUUUAGAGGAAGGAGAAGUCGUAACA
This 327-nucleotide ribosomal RNA is filed under the name uncultured eukaryote. RNAcentral describes it as "partial 18S ribosomal RNA". It matches the Rfam family "Eukaryotic small subunit ribosomal RNA", at positions 1470 to 1796 of the family's 1831-position model. The record is from RNAcentral.